Molecule: long non-coding RNA, 977 nt
Organism: Brassica rapa (field mustard)
Lineage: Eukaryota; Viridiplantae; Streptophyta; Magnoliopsida; Brassicales; Brassicaceae
Source: RefSeq, a predicted model, not a curated record
CACAGAUUUACCAUUUUACGAAAACAUUCUUACUGUAUGACCAGUUUGCUUAUCUUAGUCCUUUUUUUCUCUCUUAAUCCUAUGCCUUCUCUCUUGGUUUCCUCCGAUUGAUCUCACCGUUUCGCAGACUCUUGCUGUUUCCAUAGAGCCGAAGUCGAUCUUAUUUUGUGUUAUCGAUCUUUCUGGGAAGAGUGGUUUGUGUUCUUUUCCCUUUUGACUGGUUAUGGCGUUUCGUGGUAUCCUCUCCGUCAUCGUCUUUCCGGUGGAAGACUUAUGAACUGAAAUUGUUCUGUCUCCUGGAUAUGAAGCUUUGUUCUCUAAUUCGUCUGGACUAUUCAUCAUAGGAGGAGUCACAAGCCGAAGGUUUAUAGUCAUGGAUGGCUUCCUCGCCUUGUCUUCUUUCAAAGAAGCUCUAUCAAAUCUGCAUGCUAUUCUGUGUUUUGUAAAGGUUUCUUUUUAUCUGUCACUCUUGCCUUCUAGUUUAGAUUGAUUAGUUGUUUAGUUCUAUGUUUUGUAUCUUUGUCUAAUCUUUGUCUCCCUUGUGUGGACUAUUGUCUCCGAGAACCUUUAUUGGCAAUCUCCGGCUUAUGUAACUGGUUUAAGUUGAAUAUAAUUAGUGUUUAAAAAAAAAGACCAAGUUUGCUUGACAAUACGAAACAUUCCAUUACACAAGUGCAAUAUCAUCAAACUACUAAGGAAAUGUUUGAACGAUUCUUUUUGUAUGUUUCAGCUCUUAAAAUAUAGUUGUCGUAAAAUUAUUAUUGCCUUUGGUGGGUGCAUAAAUAUUAGAAACGGGCAGUGCACUCAGGUGGUGGGUUGGGCUUUCUCAACACUGGUCCGCAAAAGGGAAAUGACUUUCCCUGGCUCCGGAGCUCCAAACACUGAACUUCCAGCUACGAUACAGUUGGCCCCUGCUUCAGCCGCUGCUUCUAUAGUCGAUGGGCCUAACCCUCCGUCCACCUCAAUAUCUAGCGUAG